This 1564-nucleotide long non-coding RNA is filed under the name Homo sapiens (human). Its description in RNAcentral is "novel transcript". The record is from RNAcentral. Lineage: Eukaryota; Metazoa; Chordata; Mammalia; Primates; Hominidae.
CACCCAACGUAGAGUGCUCCAGAAAUCUUUCUUUCCUAGCUAGAAACUAACGACUUGAGAAUUCUGUAGAACAGCAGCAACAAAAAUCUCUUUGCAGCAGCGUUGACCACGUGAAUUGUCUUGGACGCAGCAGCAGCGUUGGGCGUUGAAUUCACUUUGCCGGGCACCUCGCGGGUCUGAUGUCCCACGUGUGGUGGAAAAUGCAAUCUGGAGUGUUCCUGGGGAGCUCUGCUGUGUAAACCUUGGCUUUACAGUGAGAAGACGGGCUGAUCACAGAUGUGAACCGUCAGGUAACCAGGGCUGCAGUGAGAGCCACAGAUUUCAUGGGAAGUGGAAGAGGAGAUGGAAAGAGCAUGCAUGCUAGGCUUCUCUGGAAAACACACCCAACCUCACGUGCAUUGUCCCUUGUCUCCUUAUGCUUCCAUUCCAGUGGAGCAGAUGGAUGUUUAACAUGGAAUUGCAGAAACUUGAAAUUAAACCUAAAGACCUUAUUAGACUCAAAUCACAUAUUUUUGGCAAGAAAAUUGUAUUGUUCAUGCUAUCAAUUGCCUUUUGUGUUAUAUGAGAAGCUGAGUGAUAUGUCAUUGUGUGAAUAUACCACAUAUACAAGCAGUUCCUUAACUAAAGGACCAACUCAGGGAAGAAGUUCAUUGGUACAAACCCCACACCAUGGGACCCCUGGAGGACUAUACCUUAGAAGCAGGGAUGAAAGAGAGGGAAGUUGGAGGAUGGAAACGUGCAAUCCUCUUAGAUGGUGAAACUAACUUGUAUCAGGAAUUUAUACCAGGUGCGGCAUUGAACUGAGCUGGAUUUCCAUACAACAACCUGGGAAGUGAGCCUGCCAAGAGGAUGAACACCUAGAUAAUGGACCUACAGUUCACUCAGACUCAAAAUAAGGAUUUAGGCGAGUGUUGUGUUGCUACUAUUUGUUUUCAGUUACUCCCACAAAUGGACAGGUAACCACUCAGCUAGAGAUCCUAGGGUGGCUGAGAAGGACGAGGAAGGCACAAAAAUCCCUGUGGGGAUGGCCAAAAGAGUUUUCCCAUGGGCUCUUACACUGAGAACUUUACUCCUUUAUAGUCUGAACAGCAGACAGCUCAGAGGUCAAAGGAAACUGCCCCUUCUGUGGAAAGGACUCCAUGCAUGUGUCUUUGUGCCUCUUCCUGGUCCUUCAUCUCUGUCUGUGGGUACCUUUCUUUCCAUCACAAUCAUCCUCUGGAUCACAUACUACACAGGACUCAUAAGGGUGCAGAGGGUCAGGGAUGCUGGAAAUGUCACCCAACAGCAAGGUGAUAGAGUUCCGGACAGAAUUUGAAUGGUACUUUCUAUGGCUCAUGUCUCUCGGUUUUCUGCAGUCCUUGCUGAGUUUCUUAAUCCAGUGUCUGGAGACCUCCAAGGUCAAAUGCAUGCACAUUUAAAUUUAAAUUCUAGGUGUAAAUAAAGGUAAUUUCUAGAUUUGCUUCCAUCUUGAUUUUCCAUGUCAUAGUUCUAUUCAAUUAGCAUAAGUAACUCAGAGGUGACAGUCAUGUAGAGAAUGUACUGAUGGGUGAUUUUGAUUUUUGUU